AUGGCUCAGGAUGAACGCUAGCGACAGGCUUAACACAUGCAAGUCGAGGGGCAGCAUAAAAGUAGCAAUACUUGGUGGCGACCGGCGCACGGGUGAGUAACGCGUAUGCAACCUACCUAUCAGGAGGGGAAUAACCCGGCGAAAGUCGGACUAAUACCGCAUAAAACAGGGGCACCGCAUGGUGAUAUUGUUAAGGAAUUCGCUGAUAGAUGGGCAUGCGUUCCAUUAGGUAGUUGGUGAGGUAACGGCUCACCAAGCCGACGAUGGAUAGGGGAACUGAGAGGUUGGUCCCCCACACUGGUACUGAGACACGGACCAGACUCCUACGGGAGGCAGCAGUGAGGAAUAUUGGUCAAUGGGCGAGAGCCUGAACCAGCCAAGUCGCCGUGAAGGAAGGAGGAUCUAUGGUUCGUAAACUUCUUUUGCAGGGGAAUAAAGUGCAGGACGUGUCCUGUUUUGUAUGUACCCUGAGAAUAAGGAUCGGCUAACUCCGUGCCAGCCGCCGC
This 506-nucleotide ribosomal RNA is filed under the name uncultured bacterium. RNAcentral's name for it is "bacterial SSU rRNA". It matches the Rfam family "Bacterial small subunit ribosomal RNA", at positions 19 to 518 of the family's 1533-position model. The record is from RNAcentral.